CAACACUCUGUGGCAUUCCCAUUUUACAUUUGGGAAUCUUUGUAUCAUCCCCAUUUCACAGAUGGUAAAACCUAAGGCUGAAAGAUGUGAGGAAACCGAAACUCUGAGAGGUCGCCUAAGUGGGGGGGAUGAAAACCAGCGCUCUGACCACAUCCUGGCCUUCGUCACCAUGGGAUUCCGAGGGACAAGCCCAGGGGAGUUGCAGCAUCCUCUGUCUACCCUAUGUACGUGACCCCCCUUUGCGGUUUUUAAACCCCACUGCUUGCUGACAGAUUUGUCACCUGUUAUAAGGGCAGAAUCCAUUAUUAUUAUCAAUAGUAGUGAUGGAUACUUAAAUAAUAAAUGCACUAAUCUCAUUAAGCCA
This is a long non-coding RNA of Homo sapiens (human), 364 nucleotides long. Lineage: Eukaryota; Metazoa; Chordata; Mammalia; Primates; Hominidae. The record is from Ensembl.